AGUAACACGUGGGCAACCUGCCUUACAGAGGGGGAUAGCCUUCCGAAAGGAAGAUUAAUACCGCAUAUUAUGAUUUUUCUGCAUGGGAAAGUCAUGAAAGGAAGCAAUCCGCUGUAAGAUGGGCCCGCGGCGCAUUAGCUAGUUGGUGAGGUAAGGGCUCACCAAGGCGACGAUGCGUAGCCGACCUGAGAGGGUGAUCGGCCACAUUGGGACUGAGACACGGCCCAGACUCCUAGGGAGGCAGCAUG
RNAcentral lists this ribosomal RNA (248 nucleotides) under uncultured bacterium. Its description in RNAcentral is "partial 16S ribosomal RNA". It matches the Rfam family "Bacterial small subunit ribosomal RNA", at positions 109 to 353 of the family's 1533-position model. The record is from RNAcentral.